GGAACGGGUUAAUACUAGGUUGAAUGGGAACGGGUUAAUACUAGGUUGAAUGGGAACGGGUUAAUACUAGGUUGAAUGGGAACGGGUUAAUACUAGGUUGAAUGGGAACGCGUUAAUACUAGGUUGAAUGGGAACGCGUUAAUACUAGGUUGAAUGGGAACGCGUUAAUACUAGGUUGAAUGGGAACGCGUUAAUACUAGGUUGAAUGGGAACGCGUUAAUACUAGGUUGAAUGGGAACGCGUUAAUACUAGGUUGAAUGGGAACGCGUUAAUACUAGGUUGAAUGGGAACGCGUUAAUACUAGGUUGAAUGGGAACGCGUUAAUACUAGGUUGAAUGGGAACGCGUUAAUACUAGGUUGAAUGGGAACGCGUUAAUACUAGGUUGAAUGGGAACGCGUUAAUACUAGGUUGAAUGGGAACGCGUUAAUACUAGGUUGAAUGGGAACGGGUUAAUACUAGGUUGAAUGGGAACGGGUUAAUACUAGGUUGAAUGGGAACGGGUUAAUACUAGGUUGAAUGGG
Molecule: long non-coding RNA, 522 nt
Organism: Oncorhynchus keta (chum salmon)
Lineage: Eukaryota; Metazoa; Chordata; Actinopteri; Salmoniformes; Salmonidae
Exons: 3
Source: RefSeq, a predicted model, not a curated record